ACAAGCGGUGGAGCACGUGGUUUAAUUCGAUGCAAACCGAAGAACCUUACCUGGGUUUGACAUGUACGUGGUACGGAUAUGAAAGUUGAAGGACUCCGCUUUCGGGUGGAGAGCGUACACAGGUGCUGCAUGGCUGUCGCCAGCUCGUGUCGUGAGAUGUUGGGUUAAGUCCCGCAACGAGCGCAACCCCUGCAUUCAGUUGCCAUCGGGUGAAGCCGGGCACUCUGGAAGGACUGCCAUCGACAAGAUGGAGGAAGGUGGGGACGACGUCAAGUCAUCAUGGCCCUUAUGUCCAGGGCGACACACGUGCUACAAUGGCCGGCACAACGGGAAGCGAGUUCGCGAGGACGAGCGGAUCCCUUAAAGCCGGUCGCAGUUCGGAUUGAAGUCUGCAACUCGACUUCAUGAAGCUGGAAUCGCUAGUAAUCGCAGAUCAGCCAAGCUGCGGUGAAUACGUUCCCGGGCCUU
RNAcentral lists this ribosomal RNA (468 nucleotides) under uncultured Synergistaceae bacterium. RNAcentral describes it as "bacterial SSU rRNA". It matches the Rfam family "Bacterial small subunit ribosomal RNA", at positions 925 to 1382 of the family's 1533-position model. Lineage: Bacteria; Thermotogati; Synergistota; Synergistia; Synergistales; Synergistaceae. The record is from RNAcentral.